AGUGAACGCUGGCGGCGUGCUUAAUACAUGCAAGUCGAACGAUGAAGUCCUAGCUUGCUAGGAUGGAUUAGUGGCGCACGGGUGAGUAAUAUAUAGUUAAUCUGCCUUGCACUGAGGAACAACAGUUGGAAACGAUUGCUAAUACCUCAUACUCCAACUUUACAUAAGUUAAGUUGGGAAAGUCUUUUCGGUGCAAGAUGAGACUAUAUCGUAUCAGCUAGUUGGUAAGGUAAUGGCUUACCAAGGCUAUGACGCGUAACUGGUCUGAGAGGAUGAUCAGUCACAUUGGAACUGAGACACGGUCCAAACUCCUACGGGAGGCAGCAGUAAGGAAUAUUGGGCAAUGGGGGAAACCCUGACGCAGCAACGCCGCGUGGAGGAGGACACUUUUCGGAGCGUAAACUCCUUUUGUUAGGGAAGAAUAAUGACGGUACCUAACGAAUAAGCACCGGCUAACUCCGUG
RNAcentral lists this ribosomal RNA (463 nucleotides) under uncultured bacterium. Its description in RNAcentral is "partial 16S ribosomal RNA". It matches the Rfam family "Bacterial small subunit ribosomal RNA", at positions 29 to 507 of the family's 1533-position model. The record is from RNAcentral.